UAUGUGAUCGUCUCUCGCAUAUCAAUAAGCGGAGGAAAAGAAACUAACAAGGAUUCCCCUAGUAACGGCGAGUGAAGCGGGAAGAGCUCAAAUUUGAAAUCUUAAAGGGUUUCCCUUUACGAAUUGUAGUUUAAAGAAGUGUUUUCUGUUGAGGUUUUGGUAAAAGUUCUUUGGAAUAGGACAUCAUAGAGGGUGAGAAUCCCGUAUUUGACCUUUACUUUCAACUUUGUGAUACACUUUCAAAGAGUCGGAUUGUUUGGGAAUGCAGUCCAAAAUGGGUGGUAAAUUCAUCUAAAGCUAAAUAUUGGCGAGAGACCGAUAGCGAACAAGUACCGUGAGGGAAAGAUGAAAAGAACUUUGAAAAGAGAGUUAAACAGUACGUGAAAUUGUCAAAAGGGAAGCGUUUGACACCAGUGUUGUUUUUCUGAAAAUCAAUUAAAGAACUGUUUAUGCUAAGUUGUUUAGACUUUAUCAGCUAACUGUUUAGUUUUGAGCUUUUCUUUAAUGCACUUUUCAGUUAACAAGUCAACAUCAAUUUCUUUUGCUGUAAAGAAGCUUGAGGAAGGUGGCUUGAGAUUCGUCUUAAGUGUUUAUAGCCUCUUGCCUAUGCAGUCGGAGAGAUUGAGGUCUGCAGCGUAGAUCCUUCGGGGCUAAAUGCAUUUGUGCUAAGUUAUAGCAUUUUAUAGACAACUUGUUGACUAUGAUUUGUCUUGUAGCUUACUCGCUUAUGUUAUUUUACCUACGCUUAGGAUGUUGAUCUACAGAGCGAGAGU
This 773-nucleotide ribosomal RNA is filed under the name uncultured Neocallimastigales. Its description in RNAcentral is "partial large subunit ribosomal RNA". It matches the Rfam family "Eukaryotic large subunit ribosomal RNA", at positions 24 to 631 of the family's 3401-position model. The record is from RNAcentral. Lineage: Eukaryota; Fungi; Neocallimastigomycota; Neocallimastigomycetes; Neocallimastigales.